GACGAACGCUGGCGGCGUGCUUAACACAUGCAAGUCGAACGAUGAAACCGGAGCUUGCUCCGGUGGAUUAGUGGCGAACGGGUGAGUAACACGUGAGUAACCUGCCCUUGACUCUGGGAUAACUGCGGGAAACUGUAGCUAAUACCGGAUACGACCCUCGGAGGCAUCUCCUGGGGGUGGAAAGAAUUUCGGUCAAGGAUGGACUCGCGGCCUAUCAGCUAGUUGGUGAGGUAACGGCUCGCCACGGCGACGACGGGUAGCCGGCCUGAGAGGGUGACGGGCCACACUGGGACUGAGACACGGCCCAGACUCCUACGGGAGGCAGCAGUGGGGAAUAUUGCACAAUGGGCGCAAGCCUGAUGCAGCAACGCCGCGUGAGGGAUGACGGCCUUCGGGUUGUAAACCUCUUUUAGCAGGGAGGAAGCGAAAGUGACGGUACCUGCAGAAAAAGCACCGGCUAACUACGUGCCAGCCGCCGCCGUAA
This 484-nucleotide ribosomal RNA is filed under the name uncultured bacterium. RNAcentral's name for it is "partial 16S ribosomal RNA". It matches the Rfam family "Bacterial small subunit ribosomal RNA", at positions 28 to 523 of the family's 1533-position model. The record is from RNAcentral.